CUAUCGUUAACUGAAUACAUAGGUUAACGAGGCGAACCGGGGGAACUGAAACAUCUAAGUACCCCGAGGAAAAGAAAUCAACCGAGAUUCCCCCAGUAGCGGCGAGCGAACGGGGAGCAGCCCAGAGUCUGAAUCAGCUUGUGUGUUAGUGGAACGGUCUGGAAAGUCCGACGGUACAGGGUGAUAGUCCCGUACACCAAAAUGCACAGGCUGUGAACUCGAAGAGUAGGGCGGGACACGUGGUAUCCUGUCUGAAUAUGGGGGGACCAUCCUCCAAGGCUAAAUACUCCUGACUGACCGAUAGUGAACCAGUACCGUGAGGGAAAGGCGAAAAGAACCCCGGCGAGGGGAGUGAAAAAGAACCUGAAACCGUGUACGUACAAGCAGUGGGAGCACCUUCGGGUGUGACUGCGUACCUUUUGUAUAAUGGGUCAGCGACUUAUAUUCUGUAGCAAGGUUAACCGUAUAGGGGAGCCGCAGGGAAACCGAGUCUUAACUGGGCGUUAAGUUGCAGGGUAUAGACCCGAAACCCGGUGAUCUAGCCAUGGGCAGGUUGAAGGUUGGGUAACACUAACUGGAGGACCGAACCGACUAAUGUUGAAAAAUUAGCGGAUGACUUGUGGCUGGGGGUGAAAGGCCAAUCAAACCGGGAGAUAGCUGGUUCUCCCCGAAAGCUAUUUAGGUAGCGCCUCGUGAACUCAUCUUCGGGGGUAGAGCACUGUUUCGGCUAGGGGGUCAUCCCGACUUACCAACCCGAUGCAAACUACGAAUACCGAAGAAUGUUAUCACGGGAGACACACGGCGGGUGCUAACGUCCGUCGUGAAGAGGGAAACAACCCAGACCGCCAGCUAAGGUCCCAAAGUCAUGGUUAAGUGGGAAACGAUGUGGGAAGGCACAGACAGCCAGGAUGUUGGCUUAGAAGCAGCCAUCAUUUAAAGAAAGCGUAAUAGCUCACUGGUCGAGUCGGCCUGCGCGGAAGAUGUAACGGGGCUAAACCAUGCACCGAAGCUGCGGCAGCGACACUAUGUGUUGUUGGGUAGGGGAGCGUUCUGUAAGCCUGCGAAGGUGUGCUGUGAGGCAUGCUGGAGGUAUCAGAAGUGCGAAUGCUGACAUAAGUAACGAUAAAGCGGGUGAAAAGCCCGCUCGCCGGAAGACCAAGGGUUCCUGUCCAACGUUAAUCGGGGCAGGGUGAGUCGACCCCUAAGGCGAGGCCGAAAGGCGUAGUCGAUGGGAAACAGGUUAAUAUUCCUGUACUUGGUGUUACUGCGAAGGGGGGACGGAGAAGGCUAUGUUAGCCGGGCGACGGUUGUCCCGGUUUAAGCAUGUAGGCUGAUUAUCCAGGCAAAUCCGGAUAAUCAAGGCUGAGGUGUGAUGACGAGGCACUACGGUGCUGAAGUAACAAAUGCCCUGCUUCCAGGAAAAGCCUCUAAGCAUCAGGUAACAUCAAAUCGUACCCCAAACCGACACAGGUGGUCAGGUAGAGAAUACCAAGGCGCUUGAGAGAACUCGGGUGAAGGAACUAGGCAAAAUGGUGCCGUAACUUCGGGAGAAGGCACGCUGGUGUGUAGGUGAAGUCCCUGCGGAUGGAGCUGAGACCAGUCGAAGAUACCAGCUGGCUGCAACUGUUUAUUAAAAACACAGCACUGUGCAAACACGAAAGUGGACGUAUACGGUGUGACGCCUGCCCGGUGCCGGAAGGUUAAUUGAUGGGGUUAUCCGUAAGGAGAAGCUCUUGAUCGAAGCCCCGGUAAACGGCGGCCGUAACUAUAACGGUCCUAAGGUAGCGAAAUUCCUUGUCGGGUAAGUUCCGACCUGCACGAAUGGCGUAAUGAUGGCCAGGCUGUCUCCACCCGAGACUCAGUGAAAUUGAACUCGCUGUGAAGAUGCAGUGUACCCGCGGCAAGACGGAAAGACCCCGUGAACCUUUACUAUAGCUUGACACUGAACAUUGAGCCUUGAUGUGUAGGAUAGGUGGGAGGCUUUGAAGCGUGGACGCCAGUCUGCGUGGAGCCAACCUUGAAAUACCACCCUUUAAUGUUUGAUGUUCUAACGUUGGCCCCUGACCGGGGUUGCGGACAGUGUCUGGUGGGUAGUUUGACUGGGGCGGUCUCCUCCCAAAGCGUAACGGAGGAGCACGAAGGUUAGCUAAUCCUGGUCGGACAUCAGGAGGUUAGUGCAAUGGCAUAAGCUAGCUUGACUGCGAGCGUGACGGCGCGAGCAGGUGCGAAAGCAGGUCAUAGUGAUCCGGUGGUUCUGAAUGGAAGGGCCAUCGCUCAACGGAUAAAAGGUACUCCGGGGAUAACAGGCUGAUACCGCCCAAGAGUUCAUAUCGACGGCGGUGUUUGGCACCUCGAUGUCGGCUCAUCACAUCCUGGGGCUGAAGUAGGUCCCAAGGGUAUGGCUGUUCGCCAUUUAAAGUGGUACGCGAGCUGGGUUUAGAACGUCGUGAGACAGUUCGGUCCCUAUCUGCCGUGGGCGCUGGAGAAUUGAGGGGGGCUGCUCCUAGUACGAGAGGACCGGAGUGGACGCAUCACUGGUGUUCGGGUUGUCAUGCCAAUGGCACUGCCCGGUAGCUAAAUGCGGAAGAGAUAAGUGCUGAAAGCAUCUAAGCACGAAACUUGCCCCGAGAUGAGUUCUCCCUGAGACUUUAAGUCUCCUGAAGGAACGUUGAAGACGACGACGUUGAUAGGCCGGGUGUGUAAGCGCAGCGAUGCGUUGAGCUAACCGGUACUAAUGAACCGUGAGGCUUAACCUU
This 2756-nucleotide ribosomal RNA is filed under the name Klebsiella pneumoniae. RNAcentral describes it as "bacterial LSU rRNA". It matches the Rfam family "Bacterial large subunit ribosomal RNA". The record is from RNAcentral. Lineage: Bacteria; Pseudomonadati; Pseudomonadota; Gammaproteobacteria; Enterobacterales; Enterobacteriaceae.